AUGCAGUUGGCGUGACUUUAUUCCAUUUCCUUUUCUCUCUCUAAAGUCCAAUUAAGAUAGUCUGUCUCCUGGGUACGAUCUUCUGCAUGUAAAGAUUUGUCCGGUGGCCAUGCAGUUGGCGUGACUUUAUUCCAUUUCCUUUUCUCUCUCUAAAAUCCAAUUAAGAUAGACUGUCUCUUGGGUACGAUCUUCUGCAUGUAAAGAUUUGUUCUUUGCACCAAUAAAGGCUCUUGGUUACGCACUUCUGAUUGUAAAGAUCUGUUCUUUACAUCUGUUCAACUUCAAAUAGCUUUUCUUGGCUUCACAGAAUUAAGGUUGUGGGUGAAUUUGCAAAUUCCUCAAGUUUUUACAUACUCACAAUCCACUGUAUGAGCCUUGUCUCGCUGGCAUCAUAGAUGCAGAUCAUAUAAUGCUUGAUAAGGAAUACGACCAAAAAAAUAUUUGAUUUGGGGAUGUUUAUUGUUGGAAUCUUGAUCAGAGAUAUGAAAGAAUCAUGUUUCAACAUGGUUGUUUCAGCUACAUUGAUAUGGGUGUAGUCAACAUAUGCUUAAAGAAAUUAAUCCAAUUGCACGGAAUUAUGCGUGAAAAAUGGUCAAUUUAUUUAUUUCAGGUUGAAUUACUUCUUUGAAAAAGAGUUCUUACUUCUGGCUCUUGUAAUUUUUGCAACCUAGCAAGAACAUCAAUAGUUGGACGUUUACUUGAUUGAAGCUCCGUGCAUUCUAAUGCCAAAUUUGUUAUGUUUAUAGCCUCAA
Non-coding RNA from Jatropha curcas, 752 nucleotides. The record is from RefSeq and is a predicted model, not a curated record. NCBI's taxonomy places the organism in Eukaryota, Viridiplantae, Streptophyta, Magnoliopsida, Malpighiales, Euphorbiaceae.